UCCGUAGGCGGGCUAAUAAGUCAGUGGUGAAAUCCCAGAGCUCAACUCUGGAACUGCCAUUGAUACUGUUAGUCUUGAAUUUAGUUGAGGUGGGCGGAAUACGUUAUGUAGCGGUGAAAUGCAUAGAUAUAACGUAGAACACCGAUUGCGAAGGCAGCUCACUAAACUGACAUUGACGCUGAUGGACGAAAGCGUGGGGAGCGAACAGGAUUAGAUACCCUGGUAGUCC
RNAcentral lists this ribosomal RNA (229 nucleotides) under uncultured bacterium. Its description in RNAcentral is "partial 16S ribosomal RNA". It matches the Rfam family "Bacterial small subunit ribosomal RNA", at positions 568 to 796 of the family's 1533-position model. The record is from RNAcentral.